Molecule: small nuclear RNA, 107 nt
Filed under: Prolemur simus (greater bamboo lemur)
Lineage: Eukaryota; Metazoa; Chordata; Mammalia; Primates; Lemuridae
Source: RNAcentral
GUGUUAGCUUCGGCAGCACAUAUACUAAAACUGGAACGACACAGAGAAGAUUAGCAUGGCCCCUGCGCAAAGAUGACACGCAAAUUCAUGAAGCGUUCCAUACUUUU